UUUGAAUGUGGCGGACACUGUAGAACAUAUCCUUUUCUACUGUCCAUUUUACAACCUGCUACGCAAACGCAUGCUGCCCCCCUUUUUGGGGUAGUCUAACAUCACGGCACAAUGAAAAUUUCCGAUUAACCCGGAAUUAACUGCAAGGGGGGCUGAGGUUUUGUUAAUAGUAUCUCUUGGAGUGCUAAAUGGCACUAUUUAGCAGGAAGGAAUCCCAAUGAAAUUCCUCAUCAUUAUAUAUUUUACAUGGCUGUUUAUUUGUAUAUAUGUUAAAUGUUUUAGGAUGUCCUAUAUUUGUAAUGCCUAGAAAAGUUUUGAUGAAGUAAGUAAGUAAGCAUUACAUGGGGCUGGACUAGAUGAGCAUUGGGGUACCUUCCAAUUCUAGAAUUCUACAAUUCCACGAAAAGAGAAUAUGCAUGGGAAAGAGGGUCAGAGAGAAGGAAAAUCACAGGAGUGUAGAGAAGAACAGAUGGCAGACAAAAGCAAGACUGGAAGGACUGAGAUGAAAAGUAGAGGUUUCUAAGCUGCUUAAAUCUUAAAUAGUGCACUAAGCAACAUAAAAACUGUAAAGCAAUAUCAGAAGAACCAUAAAAACAGUAAUAUAAAGUCAUUAAAAAACCAGGAAUUUCAUCUGUCUGUCUGUCUGUCUGUCUAUCUAUUUUGUUCCCUUAGGUGCAAUAUUGGUGUGCACUAUCUCUGGCUUUGUCCCCAUGGACAUGACGAUCACGUGGGAGGAAGGUGGCCAAUCAGAUAACACCUCCGGCAUCAUAAGUGCAAGCACUGGUAACACAGCACACUUCAGCCUUAAACCACUAGGCGAUUCGGAGGGUGACCUCUUCGUCUGUCGAGUAUCCCACCCUGAGUCCCAAACAAAAGUCAAUGAACCUGAAGACAAAGGGAACGGUCUCCAUGAGAACCUCUAUCGCGCCAACCAUAAAGAAAGCAGCCUUCAGCAAGCACAGACAAUCCUCACCGGCAUGGUCAUUGGGCUCAAUGCAAGUGAAAUUUCUGUCCAGUGGGUGAAGAAUGCCCUCCUUGAAGGUCACCAUGUGAAUCCCCGAGUCUUGAAGGGCAGCAUCAAGGAUUCCCUCUUGGCCCUCAGCCAGGUGGUAAUCCCCUACUCUGACUGGCACAACGGUACUUCAUACUCCUGUACGUUUACCCGCACAGCAGGCACCGUGGAGCCCACCCAGAGGCCUGAGGAGAAAUCCCAGGGUGAAAAGUGAUGCAAACCCCAUCCUCAGCAUCACAACCUCUUCAGCCUAUCCCAGAUUCAAUAAUUUCCAUGUAUCCAUGUUUGGCCUAAGGCUAAAUAAAAAUGAGCAUACUCACAGAUAUUUCAUGAUUUGAUCACUUGAUUGAGGUGGUGGGUGGGUUCUGGAAAGAAGUGGGGAAUGGAUUAAUCUCCCUGCAAAAUCGUGUUGAAGUUUGAUUAUUGUAGAAGCAAAGUGUGUUUAGCACAUAACCAUGAAGUUCACUGGGGGGGCUUUUGGCUAGUCACUCUCUCUUAGCCUAUCCUUCCUCACCAGGGUUUAGACUCUAACCGAGCACAGAUUUUUGUGUCUCCCCCCCCCCCAGCAAAGCAUGUCCUAUAAAAGGAAAGGUGAGUGGAGUGACAACAAUUCAUUUUGCUGACCAGUGUCUUCUGCCUGUUGAUCAUGUCUACCCAGCAUCAGUUGACCUAGAUGAACAGGUGGUGCAGUUGGUGGCAGAUUUUCAUA
Podarcis muralis (Common wall lizard) is the source of this 1721-nucleotide long non-coding RNA. The record is from Ensembl. Lineage: Eukaryota; Metazoa; Chordata; Lepidosauria; Squamata; Lacertidae.